CAGUCAGCUGUCAACAAAGAUGACUUCAUUCUGGCCUUUUCCAGUCAGUCAAAACUCAAUGUUUUGGCUCUGUCUGAGACAUGGAUCUGCAUAGACAACAUUGCAACUCCCUCAGAUCUCUCAACUGACUUCACUUUCACCCACACCCCUAGUCUGACUGGGUGAAGUGGGGGAACCGGUUUGCUCAUUUCAAACUCAGGUAAAUUUACUCCGCUCUCUUCUCUCUGCAAUAACACAACUUUUGAAUAUCAUGCUAUUACUGCCACUAAUCAUGCUAAAAUCCACUUUUUGGUCAUCUAUCACCGAGAUCAACUAGGAAACUUUGUUGAAGAGCUAGAUGUAUUGCUGUCCUCAUUCCCUGAGGACAGCACUCCGCUGAUGGUCCUUGGGGACUUUAACAUCCAUCUGGAGAAACCUCAAGUGACAGACUUUCUAGCUCUUCUGACCUAAUUUGACUUUAUAAGACUGCAUACCCCUGCAACUCACAGAGCAGAGAAACAGCUAGAGCUCAUCCUUACAUGCCAGCACAUGCCACACCCUCCAGCCCCUGGCUGUUGGAGACACUUCAUGAUCACCGAACUGAGCUGAGGGCUGCGAUGAGAAAGUGGCACAAGUCAAAAGACCCUGCUGACCUGUAACAACCUACUCGACAGACAUCAGUCUGGCUUCAACAAAGAACACUCAACAGAGACUGCCCUCUUGUCAGUAGCUGAAACCCUGCGACUGACAAGAGCUAACUCCAAAUCAUCUGUCCUCAUCCUCCUUGUCUUGUCUGAACCACAAGAUACUCCUGACCACCCUCUCUGACCUGGGCAUCACAGGAACUGCGAUUGGAUGGUUUGAGUGAUACCUCACUGGCAGAUCAUCAAGGUCUCCUGGAGAGGAGAGGUGUCAAAGACACACCAGCUGACCACUGGGGUUCCUCAAGGAUCAGUGCUUGGCCCCCUCCUCUUCUCGAUGUACACAACAUAACUGGGACCGUUCAUUGAGGCACAUGGCUUUUCCUACCACUGCUCCGCAGAUGAUACACAGCUAACACAACUACACUAACACCAACCAGAACAGCCCGGAACCUGGAAGUGGUGGUAGAUGACCAGCUUAAUUUCAUUGCACACAUCUCAUCAACCGCCUGGUCUUACAGAUUCAUGCUUUACAACAUCAGGAAAAUCAGACCUUUCCUGUCUGAAUAUGCUGCACAGCUCCUUGUCCAAGCUCUGGUCAUUUCAAGACUGGACUACUGCAAUGCUCUGUUGGCUGGCCUUCCAGCUAACACAAGCCACUGCAGAUGGUCCAGCAUGCAGCAGCGCAUCUGGUCUUCAAUCAGCCAAAAAGGGUUCAUGUCACCCCACUCUUAAUUUCACUCCACUGGCUACCUGUAGCUGCCCACAUCAAAUUCAAGUUUUGGUGGCAUGCGGAGGACCAACAGCAUAUUAGGCAGGUGGUCAUAAUGUUUUGGCUCAUCUGUGUAUAUUGUUUAUUGUUUGUUCAUUAUACCUAAUGCAUUAACUAAUGAUAAUGAAUAGACCCUUAUUGUAAAGUAUUAGUAGUAAUGUUAUGGAUUAAAUCAAGUAGUUUAAAUCCUUCAAGUAACAAUUGCAGGUUACUACUUUUUUCAGUAAAGGCACUCUUGAUGAUGGCCUGGUACAACAAUUUGAAGUUUGGGUGUCUGUGGAGGUUAAAGGUUAUAGGACUUCUAUAACUUCUUUUAACACCACCUAACCUCUCUAAACUCAGGUAAAAUAUACAGUACGGUGGAAACUGCAUAUAAAGCUUGAUACUGUUCAUAAAGAAUGAGUUGGAGUAAACAGUUAUUGAGAAGGUACAGUACGAGAACUGUUAGGUUGUUGUAGGUUCUGUGUUACAGGAUGCUCUGGCGGAAGGAUCCACAUAGAGGCAGUGCGUCACAUGGCCCAAGGUCAUAACGUAAUUCCUCCAGGAUGACAGACAAGUGUUUGAGCAUAGAAAUAGAUUCAGCUUCAGUUCAUUUGGUUCGAAGGAGAGACAACCCCUUUGGUCAUGCUUGUAUAGUUUAUCCUUGCUUACAAUCCUUGAGUUCCUGUGUCUCAAAAGUUCAUCAAGGAAGUGACUGUUUAAAUAUAUGUCAUUUUCCAAUGGGGACUUCCAAGAUUAAAAAGUCUAAAUUAGAUAACAGCUUAAAAAAAAUUUUUAUCAUUAUUUUAUCACAUGUUCACAGUGGACAAUCAAUAGACCUUAUUCUAGGGUGACCUGAAAAAAAAAAAAAGAGUAUUUCAAAACAAAUGUUAAAUGCUAAAAAUGUCCUGGGUGUCUUUAUUUUGAUGUGCUCUCUACAGUUAGGAUUAUCAUACAUUCUGGGUGUAUUUGAUACUGUGCAUAAGUUUUCACAAGUUUACAUGUUCUUGAUUAUUCUGGCUGAGAGUGGCAGGCACUCUUUCAAAGUUUCUUUUUUUAUUCUCUCUCUCUCUCUCUCUCUCUCUCUCUCUCUCUCUCACCCACCCGUGGGCUCAGCCCCCCAGACGUGCUCUGUCACUCUCAGCCAGAAACAUCAAUAAGUACACUUUUAAACUUAUGUUAUCCAACUCUGUGAAUUAUUAAAUAGAUCACCUGUUUCAUCAGACUCACGCUUACUACGCAUUGUCAUUUGUAACAGAAAAUGUUGUCCAUAUCGAGACAAUAUUGUAUAUUUUACAUAUCAGGGUAAUAAAAACUAAUUUGAUGGAUACAUUUUUAUUUACCAAGAUGGAAAUUCUACAACUCAGUCCAUCAGAUAUUUGUAGAGCAACCUCUGUAU
Long non-coding RNA from Myxocyprinus asiaticus (Chinese sucker), 2770 nucleotides. RefSeq lists it as uncharacterized. The transcript has 3 exons. The record is from RefSeq and is a predicted model, not a curated record. NCBI's taxonomy places the organism in Eukaryota, Metazoa, Chordata, Actinopteri, Cypriniformes, Catostomidae.